AAUAACGAGAUGAAGGUAUUCUUUCUCUAGUAGAUCAUCUAAGAUAACUCUCUAGAGCAUCAACAACUAGUUAUUGAUCAACCAUAUCAACUUGAACUGAAGCAUCAACAACAUCAUGCUGGUCAUUAUGGACAUGAUCAUCAUCUUCACUAGCAACUUGAUUUUCAUCAUUAUGAAAAUUUUCUUCAGGAGCAGUAGUCAAAAAAAUUAGAUCAACAUCUAAGAAUCAACCUUUUCAACUUUGUCAAAAUCUUCAAUUAUUUGUUCUUCAAAGAACACAACAUCACGG
RNAcentral lists this long non-coding RNA (289 nucleotides) under Capsicum annuum. Its description in RNAcentral is "long non-coding RNA (CANN_LNC000460)". The record is from RNAcentral. Lineage: Eukaryota; Viridiplantae; Streptophyta; Magnoliopsida; Solanales; Solanaceae.